This is a non-coding RNA of Oryctolagus cuniculus (rabbit), 3152 nucleotides long. The record is from RefSeq and is a predicted model, not a curated record. Lineage: Eukaryota; Metazoa; Chordata; Mammalia; Lagomorpha; Leporidae.
UUUGGAAAUUUAUAUUUAGUAAAUAAAAGUUAAAAAAAUAAUGAAAAAAAGAAAUAGCAUCAGAUGGAUCUGGCUUAGUGUCAUAGCAGGUAAAGCUGCCAUGUGUUACAAAAGCAUCCCAUACCUGUGCCAGUUUGUGUCCUGGCUGCUCCACUUCAACUCCACUCCCUGCUAGUGCCUAGGAAAAGCAGCAGAAGAUAACCUAAGUGUUUGGGCCCCUGCCACCCAUGAGGGAGACACAAAUGAAGUUCCUGGCUCCUGACUUUGGUUUGGCCAGGGGUUGGCUAUGGGGCCAACUGGAAAGUGAACCAGUGGAUAGAGGAUCUUUCUCUGUCUCUCUGUUAUUGGACUUUCAAAUAAAUGUCCUUUCAAAUAAAUUGUCCUUGUCUACAAGUGCAUUGCUGCGGUCCAGUUAAUGGUGGUCUGACAACAAUAUGCCACUCUUUAAGAACUGGGUUAUGCCGCUCUUUAAGCGCCAGAUUGGGAGCUCCAUACAUCCGCCCACGGCCACUGCCAAGAUGUAGAGAUACACUACAUCAUACCCUGAGUUGCUGAGGUGGUAGCCAGUGACGGGUAAGAUCCCCGGGACAGCCCUUACCAGCUGGAGUGGUAGUCAAGGACGGGUAAGAUCCCCAGAGGGGGACAACCUAAGACAGACAUGCUCCCUAAAGGGCUGAUCCCACUCAGAGGGGACAACCUAAGACAGGCACACUCUCCGCUCAGUUCCUCUUCCUCUCUUUAAUAUAAAACAAAAAAGGGGGAAUCUGUGGGGAAAUUAGGCACACGUGGCAAUUCAAAGAUGGCGCCCAAAGGAAGUAAGGUGGGCGGUGCCCAAAGUCGUUUACCACCAAAGCUGAUUGGCCGCACAGCAUCUUUACAAUUAAGGAAUAGAGCCGGAUAACCCAGGAAGAAUUGUGGAGCUUCCUUUUAUUUUUAGCUCCUGCUAUCAGGACUGUGGUAACUCAGCUCAUUGAUGUAUGUGGAAGUGCUUUCUUAGAAUUAUCCUUUCCUAAUAAAGAUAUUUCUCUAUAAAUGGCUCUAAAAUCUUAGAAAAAUAGACCAUCUACAUAAUAUUCUCAGGACCAGGGAACUUAACUUUGGAAAGUUUCAUCUAUUCAAAUAUUAUUCAGAUAUCACGUUCUUAUAGUAUGGUGGCUACAUAGGUUAGAUAUCAGAGUGUUAAGCUAAUUUUUUAAUAUAGCCUAAUAUAAUCAACUUUUAUUCUUUGAUUUGCUGCAGUUCAGAGAGAGGAUUUCCAAUUCUGAUAUUUUAAAAUAUUCUCCUGUGAGUUUUUUUUCACUUUAACGGAUUUGUCAUCUUCCAUUAAAUCUUUGAGCUUUUGGAAUUUCUGCUUCUAAAAUGUUUGAAGUUUGGUUCCAACAUUUUUCCAGUUGGGCACCAUUUAUUACAAGCCUUUCAUUGUUUAAGUGCACAGAUUAUUAUUUAGUUUCAGAGGAAGAUUAAUAUUCCAUUGAGUAUCAGUGAAAAUUCCUUUUUAUUUUUAAAAUUUUAUAUAUAUAUAUAUAUAUUCUCAUUUUAUUUAAAGUGGAGUGGCAUAGACUAACAAUGAGGGAUAGUCCAUAUGCUGGUUUAUUUGCAACAUGUCCACAGCAGCAGUUGGUUGGGCUGAAGCCAGAAGUUCAAAACAUUUGAAUUCUCAAAUGGGUGGCAGGAACCCAAGGACUUGUUCUGUCAUCUUUUGCCUCCCAGAAUGCGCAUUAGUAGGAAGACACAUCAGAAGUGGAGGAGCCAUGACUUGAGCGAGGAACUUGGGUGUGGGAUUUGAGUAUCCCAAGCAAUGAUUUAGCUCCUGAGACAAUUGCCCAUCCCCUUACUUAGGUUUUCAGUGGACAUAAAAAGGAAAAUGACACGCUACAUAAAAUUCACUUACUUUAAAAUUGCAUCAUGAAGACUGGAAAUAGUACAAUAAAUUUCAGAACAUGGAAAAAGAAAAUAUUUUGAGAAUAUCACAAUUUUAAAAGAUUGCUUCAGCAGUCUUUAAAAUCAUUUGUAAAUGAGUGAGGAAACAUUAACAAAAACAAUGAUCUAGUCUAGUGUACAGCUUAAUAUUCUGGCUGUUAAUAUUAGAAUGCUACAUUCUAAACUGGAUCAUGAGAAACAAAAAAUUAAAAAGUGAAAAUUGAACACAUCUAUCAAAAAGCAGAGACUGUAGGGCCAGUGCUGUGUUCUAGCAGGUAAAGCCGCCUGCUGUGCUGGCAUCCCAUAUGGGUACCGGUUCAUGUCCCAGCUGCUCUACUUCUAAUCCAGCUCUCUGUUGUGGCCUUGUAAAGCAGAAGAUGGCCCAAGUACUUGGGACCCUGCACCCACGUGAGAGACUAGAAGAAGCUCCUGGCUCCUGAAUCCUUGCUUUGGAUCAGUGUAGCUCUGGCCAUUGUGGCCAUUUGGGGAGUGAACCAGUGGAUGGAAGACUGUCUCUUUCUCUCUCUCUCUCCCCCUUCGUCCAUCUGUCCCUCCCUCCCUCCCUUUCUCUGCCUCCCUGUAACUCUGCCUUUCAAAUAAAUAAAUAUUUAAAAAAACAUAGACUGAAACACAAGCUAAAUCAUCUGGUACUAGACUGACUACUAUAUACCCAAUUAUGAUCAAAGUUAGAUAUCAAUAAUAGACCUGAACUUUCAUUUCUGGAGAACAAGAGAUGAGAGAUUUUGUUUUAUGACAAAAUGAAUUUUUAUGUGUGAAGCAUAAAAGAUAAAAACGAAAUUCUUGUUUCUGGCAUUGUUUGCACUGUGUUCUAAGCCACCACUUGUGAUGUAUACAUCCCAUAUCUAAUGUUGAAUCAAGUCCCAUCUAAGAAUUAGUCAGAAAUUAUGUAUAUGCUUAGAUUGAUGGGUGAAAAUAUUUUCCGUGUACAUUGUAGGCUUCAGUCUGAAAUUUUGGAAAUGAAAGAUAUCGUCAAACUGCAUGCUGGCAGUAUUGAAGAGCUGCAGAAAAAUCUGCUUUUCCAAUAGCUUCCGGAUGAAAGUACUCAAGUUGACUUAACUUCUUCUAUAAAUAGCAAAAUCAGCAAUGCUCCAGCAAAUAAUUGAUGAGUAACUUCUGUAGUGAAGCCAUUCUGCUAAACAGUGGAAUCUCGUCUGAAGCCGGUGGAAACCAGAGCAUGAGAAUAUUAAACACAAAUUAUGUUUUAUUAUUCA